This is a long non-coding RNA of Lucilia sericata (common green bottle fly), 1747 nucleotides long. RefSeq lists it as uncharacterized. Lineage: Eukaryota; Metazoa; Arthropoda; Insecta; Diptera; Calliphoridae. The record is from RefSeq and is a predicted model, not a curated record. The transcript has 8 exons.
CCGCGUUCAGAUGAUUUAUCAAACAUAAUUAUUGUUAAUUAAAAACUAAAGUGUUUAAAAAUAAAAAAAUGACUUUUAAACCGAUUCUAAGUACAAUAUUAAUAAUCUUAACAAAACAGCAGCUUCAAGUAUAUGCAAAUAAUGUAACCAAAUUUGGAAAUACCAGCACUGAACCCAUUGGAAAGGAAAUUAUAAAUUGUUCCUAUGAGAAUACAAUUAAUAUCACUGAGACAACGUUACUAUCAAAUGGUUCCUAUAUAUAUGAUAAUGAAACUCUUAUACCGCCCGAUCUUGUGGGUAAUUAUGAUUAUGAAAUUCUAUAUAAUGACAGUCGGCGUUCAGUGCCACAACAUAAGCGUGCCUGUAUCUGUCACCUAAAAACAUGCAUUACCUUCUGUUCGAAUAUCAUUUCCGAUACCUAUAAUUAUGUUGUAGAAAACAAUAUGUCUUAUGCAUUAGAUAUGUUUUCAAUUGAAAUGACACUAAAAAAUCAAACGGUUGUCACGAAAAACAUUGCCAGAGAUUUUAUGCCUAAUGUGCUGAAUGAGUUUUGUGAAGCAAGUUACAUACUAUCACCCGAAGAAAAUAGUUGGACUUUAGAUGAAAAUGGCAAUUUACAACUCCCCGAUAAUAAGAUACAACUUAAAAGGAACCAGUAUUGCAUUGAUAUUCAUAAAAUAAUUACUGAAAUGAGACAUAUGAUUUUAUAAGUCCCACAAUCUGUGCAAAAAGAGAAAUUAAAUGAUACAUUAGAAAAGUUCAAUUAUUGGGUUCAAGUGAUUUCCGUAAUAUUUCUUCUUUUAACCAUUAUCUUAUAUUGCUGUCUAACACCCCUAAGUAUCCACGGAAAACUUAUAAUAUCCUACUCGAGCAAUUUAGCAUUGUCUUUUACUAUUUUCUGUUUCAUAAAUCUCUCGGAAAAGAUAUUUGAUCGUGGUCCUUGUUUGUUUAUGGCUUAUGUAAAUCAUUUUAACACAAUUAUCCCACUUCACUGGUUGGGAAUUCUCUGCUAUGAUAGCCAAAAAACCAUUACUCAUCAUGAUCAUGAAGCUUCUUAUCUUAAGUAUUCUGUAUUUGGUUAUAUACUACUAUUACUGAUGACACUUUUACAAUGGCGGCGCAAAAUCUAAUUAUAGACGAUGCAUGGAGACCAGGAAUUAGUAUAGAGAGAUGUGGUUUGAGUGUUAAGUGGUCUGCAACUAUAUACUUUUAUGGUCCCUGUUUGAUUAUUUUGCUAUACUGUUUGACUACGUUUAUUUCGGUUUAUUGGACGGCAAUACGAAGUAAAAAACAAUUCAAUAAAGUUAAGUUAAAUGGACCUAAAAAAUUUCUUAUAACUCCAAUUGGCGUAUAUGGCAGAUGAUGGUCAUAUGUUGGUUUUUAGAAAUUCUGUCGUAUGUAUUACAUAGGCAUGAGUUUAAAAUUUCAUCCAAAAUAAUCGAUUAUAUUAAUUCACUGCAGGGAGUAUAUAUAUUUUUCAUUAUCAUCGGACAAAAAGAAGUUCGGAAUUCCUUUAAAAAAAGAUAUUUUAGCAAGAAAUACAGAAGGGAACGACAAAAUGAAAUUAAAAACAACCAUCAGCGGCGCAUGCAAUCUGCACGAACCGAGAAUAGUGAAUACUUGUAUGAACAAGACGAAUAAAUGUUAGUAUUAUGCUCUUUUUAAGAGAAAUGUGUGCGCUCUUUUCUUUUUGCCGAUCACAGUUUUAAUGAUUCCUUAGAUUAUAAGUUUAUUAUAAAUAUAAAGA